GUCUGUAUAGAUUAUUUGAUAUAAAUCAUGAUGCUGUUAACUUCAAGAAGGUGUAUGCUACCUAUAGUCG
This 70-nucleotide transfer RNA is filed under the name Moniezia expansa (sheep tapeworm). Its description in RNAcentral is "tRNA-Asn". Lineage: Eukaryota; Metazoa; Platyhelminthes; Cestoda; Cyclophyllidea; Anoplocephalidae. The record is from RNAcentral.